AGAGUUUGAUCCUGGCUCAGGAUGAACGCUAGCGGCAGGCCUAAUACAUGCAAGUCGAACGGUUCAUGGUUUUCGGAUCAUGGAUAGUGGCGCACGGGUGCGUAACGCGUACACAACAUACCCUUUACUGGGGGAUAGCGGUGGGAAACUGCCAGUAAUACCCCAUGCCCUCGCGAGGUGGCAUUAUUUUGCGAGGAAAGUUGAGGCGGUAAAGGAUUGGUGUGCGUCCGAUUAGCUAGUUGGCGGGGUAACGGCCCACCAAGGCGACGAUCGGUAGGGGGUGUGAGAGCAUGGCCCCCCACACGGGUACUGAGACACGGACCCGACUCCUACGGGAGGCAGCAGUAAGGAAUAUUGGACAAUGGGCGGAAGACUGAUCCAGCCAUGCCGCGUGAAGGAAGAAAGCGCUCAGCGUUGUAAACUUCUUUUGGAUGGGAAUAAUAACCUCUACGUGAUAGGGGCUUGAAGGUACCAUCAGAAUAAGCACCGGCUAACUCCGUGCCAGCACCCGCGGUAAUACGGAGGGUGCGAGCGUUAUCCGGAUUCACUGGGUUUAAAGGGUGCGUAGGUGGUCUUGUAAGUCAGUGGUGAAAUACCGCAGCUCAACUGCGGAACUGCCAUUGAUACUGCUUGACUUGAAUUAGGUUGAGGUGGAUGGAAUAUUACAUGUAGCGGUGAAAUGCUUAGAUAUGUAAUAGAACACCGAUUGCGAAGGCAGUUCACUAUACCUAUAUUGACACUGAGGCACGAAAGCGUGGGGAUCAAACAGGAUUAGAUACCCUGGUAGUCCACGCCCUAAACGAUGUAUACUCGACAUAUGCGAUACACUGUAUGUGUCUAAGCGAAAGCGUUAAGUAUACCACCUGGGAAGUACGUCCGCAAGGAUGAAACUCAAAGGAAUUGGCGGGGGUCCGCACAAGCGGUGGAGCAUGUGGUUUAAUUCGAUGAUACGCGAGGAACCUUACCUGGGCUAGAAUGUAACUUGACCGAUCCUGAAAGGGGUCUUUGUAGCAAUACACAGGUUACAAGGUGCUGCAUGGUUGUCGUCAGCUCGUGCCGUGAGGUGUUGGGUUAAGUCCCGCAACGAGCGCAACCCCUAUCUUUAGUUGCCAGCGAGUAAUGUCGGGGACUCUAAAGAGACUGCCUGCGUAAGCAGAGAGGAAGGAGGGGAUGACGUCAAAUCAUCAUGGCCUUUAUGCCCAGGGCUACACACGUGCUACAAUGGUGGAUACAAAGAGCAGCCAACUGGCGACAGUGAGCAAAUCUCAAAAAAACCAUCUCAGUUCGGAUUGAAGUCUGCAACUCGACUUCAUGAAGCUGGAAUCGCUAGUAAUCGCAAAUCAGCAAUGUUGCGGUGAAUACGUUCCCGGACCUUGCACACACCGCCCGUCAAGCCAUGGAAGUUGGGUGUACCUUAAGACGAUAACCGCAAGGAGUUGUCCAAGGUAAAACCAGUAACUGGGGUUAAGUCGUAACAAGGUAACC
Molecule: ribosomal RNA, 1485 nt
Filed under: uncultured bacterium
Lineage: Bacteria
Description: bacterial SSU rRNA
Rfam family: Bacterial small subunit ribosomal RNA
Source: RNAcentral